RNAcentral lists this long non-coding RNA (258 nucleotides) under Mytilus galloprovincialis (Mediterranean mussel). Lineage: Eukaryota; Metazoa; Mollusca; Bivalvia; Mytilida; Mytilidae. The record is from RNAcentral.
AAAAAGAAAUUUCUUCAAACAUUUUUUUGAGAGGAUUAAUAUUCAACAGCAUAGUGAAUUGCUCAAAGGCAAAAAAAAUAUUUUAAGUUCAUUAGACUACAUUCAUUCUGUGUCCGAAACCUAUGCUGUGUCAACUAUUUAAUCACAAUCCAAAUUUAGAGCUGAAUCCAGCUUGAAUGUUGUGUCCAUACUUGCCCCAACCGUUCAGGGUUCAACCUCUGCGGUCGUAUAAAGCUGCGCCCUGCGGAGCAUCUGGUU